This 70-nucleotide transfer RNA is filed under the name Trichonephila inaurata madagascariensis. RNAcentral's name for it is "tRNA-Ser". The record is from RNAcentral. Lineage: Eukaryota; Metazoa; Arthropoda; Arachnida; Araneae; Nephilidae.
GAGUUCGUAGCUUGAAUGGUAAAUCGUCUGCUUACUAUGCAUGAGGUUUGGGUUCAAUUCCACGAGAUCA